GGAGCUAUAGCUCACUGGUAGAGCAUCUGCUUUCCAUUCAGAAGGUCUCAAGUUCAACCCCUGAUAUCUCCA
Podarcis lilfordi (Lilford's wall lizard) is the source of this 72-nucleotide non-coding RNA. NCBI's taxonomy places the organism in Eukaryota, Metazoa, Chordata, Lepidosauria, Squamata, Lacertidae. The record is from the annotation of a GenBank genome assembly.